This 797-nucleotide ribosomal RNA is filed under the name Chasmostoma nieuportense. RNAcentral describes it as "partial small subunit ribosomal RNA". It matches the Rfam family "Eukaryotic small subunit ribosomal RNA", at positions 911 to 1395 of the family's 1831-position model. Lineage: Eukaryota; Euglenozoa; Anisonemea; Natomonadida; Astasiidae. The record is from RNAcentral.
GUGAAAUCCCGUGACCCCCCGGGGACCGCCCGCGGCGAAGGCACCCCACCAGCAGGCAUCCGCCGAUCAGCGAACCAAUGCGUGGGGAGCGAAGAUGAUCAGAUACCGUCGUAGUCCAUACCGUCAACGAUGCCGGCCCCGCCCUCCCACUGCCACUGAGAAAUCCCAAGCGUCCGGGUUCAGGGGGGAGUAUAGCCGCAAGGCCGAAACUUAAAGGAAUUGACGGAAUGGCACCACCAGGCGUGGAGCCUGCGGCCCAAUUUGACCCAACACGGGGCACCUCACCGGGUCAGGACGCUGGCGGGAUUGACAGACAGCGGAUCGCUUUUAUCCGCUUGUGGCUGCGAAAAGGAGAGCCCGCCUGUCACUGGAUGUCCGGGUUGUUCGGCCCCCACGCCUUCAUCACCGGCGUGCUGCAGGCCUACUCCCGCCAGCACAACGUUCCCGUCGACACCUUAGGCUUCUCGUUCGAGGUCCUUGCCGCCCCGCAGGACACCCUCACACAGCCCCCCGCCUCGGGCGUCUACGUGUUUGGCCUGUUCGCCGACAGCUGCCGCUGGAACUCCACUGACCACAUCAUAGACGAAUGCUUCGCUAGUCAAAUCUACUCCCCCAUGCCCGUCCUCCACUUCCUCCCCGAAGCCAACCAUACCACCCCACCCGGCCACUACGUGUGCCCCCUCUACAAGACCACCGUACGCCGUGGGGUGCUGUCCUCGCUGGGGCAGUCAACAAACUUCAUUCUCCCCAUCGAGCUCCCCACGGAGUACCCCCCCAGCUUCUGGAUACAGCAGGGG